GGAUCAAUUGAUUGGUCAUGCCUACGGUAUGUACUAGUCAUAUUGGUUCUCACCUUCUAAUGAACCUUAAUGUCAUUCACUUGAUGUUUUGGGGAAUUAGGACUGUUACCUUGAAAAAAUUAGAGUGUUUAAAGCAGGCAAUCUCGCUUGAAUACAUUAGCAUGGAAUAAUAGAAUAGGA
Molecule: ribosomal RNA, 180 nt
Filed under: uncultured Glomeromycotina
Lineage: Eukaryota; Fungi; Glomeromycota
Description: partial small subunit ribosomal RNA
Rfam family: Eukaryotic small subunit ribosomal RNA
Source: RNAcentral